UACGUAGGGACCAAGCGUUGUUCGGAUUUACUGGGCGUAAAGGGCGCGUAGGCGGCAAUUCAAGUCAGCUGUGAAAUCUCCGGGCUUAACUCGGAGCGGUCAGCUGAUACUGCUUUGCUAGAGUGCAGAAGGGGCAAUCGGAAUUCUUGGUGUAGCGGUGAAAUGCGUAGAUAUCGAGAGGAACACCUGCGGCGAAGGCGGGUUGCUGGGCUGACACUGACGCUGAGGCGCGAAAGCCAGGGGAGCGAACGGG
RNAcentral lists this ribosomal RNA (253 nucleotides) under uncultured bacterium. RNAcentral's name for it is "partial 16S ribosomal RNA". It matches the Rfam family "Bacterial small subunit ribosomal RNA", at positions 524 to 776 of the family's 1533-position model. The record is from RNAcentral.